AGAUCGGCUCCGUGCAGUUGCCAGACCCCCGACCCGGCAACCGCACGGGGCCUUUCG
This 57-nucleotide small RNA is filed under the name Nocardia nova SH22a. RNAcentral describes it as "F6 TB sRNA". It matches the Rfam family "F6 TB sRNA". The record is from Rfam by way of RNAcentral. Lineage: Bacteria; Bacillati; Actinomycetota; Actinomycetes; Mycobacteriales; Nocardiaceae.